Non-coding RNA from Delphinella strobiligena, 71 nucleotides. Lineage: Eukaryota; Fungi; Ascomycota; Dothideomycetes; Dothideales; Dothioraceae. The record is from the annotation of a GenBank genome assembly.
GUUUCGAUGGUCCAACGGCAGGAUACUCGCCUUCCAAGCGAGUGGCCCGGGUUCGACUCCCGGUCGAUACA